CCUACGGGAGGCAGCAGUGGGGAAUAUUGGACAAUGGGCGAAAGCCUGAUCCAGCAAUGCCGCGUGAGUGAUGAAGGCCUUAGGGUCGUAAAGCUCUUUUACCAGGGAUGAUAAUGACAGUACCUGGAGAAUAAGCUCC
This 139-nucleotide ribosomal RNA is filed under the name uncultured bacterium. RNAcentral describes it as "partial 16S ribosomal RNA". It matches the Rfam family "Bacterial small subunit ribosomal RNA", at positions 338 to 494 of the family's 1533-position model. The record is from RNAcentral.